Molecule: ribosomal RNA, 240 nt
Filed under: uncultured bacterium
Lineage: Bacteria
Description: partial 16S ribosomal RNA
Rfam family: Bacterial small subunit ribosomal RNA
Source: RNAcentral
UAAACGCGUAGGUAAUCUACCCCAAAAUUUUGGAAUAACCUGCCGAAAGGCGGGCUAAUACUGGAUAGAGCGACGAAAUCCGUAAUUGGGUUUUUCGGGAAAGGGAGGCAGCAAUGCCCCUCGUUUUGGGAUGAGCCUGCGUCUCAUUAGCUAGUUGGUGGGGUAAAGGCCCACCAAGGCUUUGAUGGGUAGCUGGUCUGAGAGGAUGAUCAGCCACACUGGAACUGAAACACGGUCCAG